RNAcentral lists this transfer RNA (62 nucleotides) under Perkinsus olseni. Its description in RNAcentral is "tRNA-Thr". It matches the Rfam family "tRNA", at positions 6 to 65 of the family's 71-position model. From Rfam's summary of the family: Transfer RNA (tRNA) molecules are approximately 80 nucleotides in length. Their secondary structure includes four short double-helical elements and three loops (D, anti-codon, and T loops). Lineage: Eukaryota; Perkinsozoa; Perkinsida; Perkinsidae. The record is from RNAcentral.
UUUAGCUUAGUGGUAGAGCAUCUGCUUCGUAAGCAGAAGGUCGUCAGUUCAAUCCUGGCAAG